UUUUGCAUAUCCAAUAGCGGAGGAAAAGAAACCAACAGGGAUUGCCUUAGUAGCGGCGAGUGAAGCGGCAAAAGCUCAAAUUUGAAAUCUGGCGCCUUCGGUGUCCGAGUUGUAAUUUGAAGAUUGUAACCUUGGGGUUGGCUCUUGUCUAUGUUUCUUGGAACAGGACGUCACAGAGGGUGAGAAUCCCGUGCGAUGAGAUGCCCAAUUCUAUGUAAGGUGCUUUCGAAGAGUCGAGUUGUUUGGGAAUGCAGCUCUAAGUGGGUGGUAAAUUCCAUCUAAAGCUAAAUAUUGGCGAGAGACCGAUAGCGAACAAGUACAGUGAUGGAAAGAUGAAAAGAACUUUGAAAAGAGAGUGAAAAAGUACGUGAAAUUGUUGAAAGGGAAGGGUUUGAGAUCAGACUCGAUAUUUUGUGAGCCUUGCCUUCGUGGCGGGGUGACCCGCAGCUUAUCGGGCCAGCAUCGGUUUGGGCGGUAGGAUAAUGGCGUAGGAAUGUGACUUUACUUCGGUGAAGUGUUAUAGCCUGCGUUGAUGCUGCCUGCCUAGACCGAGGACUGCGAUUAAUCAAGGAUGCGGCAAAUACC
This 585-nucleotide ribosomal RNA is filed under the name Meyerozyma guilliermondii. RNAcentral describes it as "eukaryotic LSU rRNA". It matches the Rfam family "Eukaryotic large subunit ribosomal RNA", at positions 34 to 636 of the family's 3401-position model. The record is from RNAcentral. Lineage: Eukaryota; Fungi; Ascomycota; Pichiomycetes; Serinales; Debaryomycetaceae.